UGGGGAAUAUUGGACAAUGGGCGCAAGCCUGAUCCAGCCAUGCCGCGUGUGUGAAGAAGGCCUUUUGGUUGUAAAGCACUUUAAGCGAGGAGGAGGCUACUUGGAUUAAUACUCUAGGAUAGUGGACGUUACUCGCAGAAUAAGCACCGGCUAACUCUGUGCCAGCAGCCUCGGUAAUACAGAGGGUGCGAGCGUUAAUCGGAUUUACUGGGCGGAAAGCGUGCGUAGGCGGCUUCUUAAGUCGGAUGUGAAAUCCCUGAGCGUAACUUAGGAAUUGCAUUCGAUACUGGGAAGCUAGAAUAUUGGAGAAGAUGGUAGAAUUCCAGGUGUAGCGGUGAAAUGCGGAGAGAUCUGGAGGAAUACCGAUGGCGAAGGCAGCCAUCUGGGCUAAUACUGACGCUGAGGUACGAAAGCAGGGGGAGCAAACAGG
Molecule: ribosomal RNA, 430 nt
Filed under: bacterium
Lineage: Bacteria
Description: partial 16S ribosomal RNA
Rfam family: Bacterial small subunit ribosomal RNA
Source: RNAcentral